UAAUUAUCUUUGAUGUAAAUAUGAAAAACAAAGCAUUAAAUAUUUGGUGGUGGAUCUCGCAACAGUAACGUCGUGAACAAACCUUGUAUUUAAAAUUCAAAUAAAGAAAGGCCUGUC
RNAcentral lists this non-coding RNA (117 nucleotides) under Leeuwenhoekiella aequorea. RNAcentral's name for it is "Bacteroidete tryptophan peptide leader RNA". It matches the Rfam family "Bacteroidete tryptophan peptide leader RNA". The record is from RNAcentral. Lineage: Bacteria; Pseudomonadati; Bacteroidota; Flavobacteriia; Flavobacteriales; Flavobacteriaceae.